RNAcentral lists this transfer RNA (70 nucleotides) under Cricetulus griseus (Chinese hamster). It matches the Rfam family "tRNA". From Rfam's summary of the family: Transfer RNA (tRNA) molecules are approximately 80 nucleotides in length. The record is from Rfam by way of RNAcentral. Lineage: Eukaryota; Metazoa; Chordata; Mammalia; Rodentia; Cricetidae.
GGGGAUAUGGCUCAGUGAUAGAGAGCAUGCCUAACAUGCAUGAGGCCCUGAAUUCAACCCCCAGUACCCA